UCCUGCUGGCCACACUGUUCUUGCUACAAGCCAGGAUGCUUGUGUGUGCCUCUGCAGCAGAGAGCCUGCCACCCACACCAUUGGCAGAGUGAGCCCAGGCAGGUUGCGAUGGACAGCUUGCAAAAGCUUAUACAGCAGAAACUUGAGAUCAGGACCCAGAUCAGCAAAGGGCACCUGUGAGGACAACGGCAAAAAAGACUCAGCAUCAUGGGUCUGAUUCUUUGGUUUGCCAGAGGACAACAGUCUUUGGAAGAGUCAUGCAGCAGUAGGCAGUGGCUGCAGCCAUCCAAGAGGGGUUUCUGGGGGGAGAUAUUGACCCCUGGGCUGGGGAGGGGGCUGGCCAGUCCGAUCCCAGGCUGGCUCGUGUGGAGUCACCAGGUUACUGGAUAAACACCUGUCCCUCCCCUCUGGCCGCUCCUUGGCAAAGUACUGUACCUCCAACCCUCCUCGUGUCCCCAGUCACCGCUGGCACACAGCUGCUGCUGAAGGGAUGCAGGAGAGGGUUUGAGCCAUCCAACCUCAUCCCAGUGUGAGCAGCACCAGGGGAAGAAGCUGGGGGAGAAUGCCAGGGCCUGCUGCAGAGGACUGAGGAGGCACUGCUGCUCUCCCUAACUGUGGUGUGGCUGCUUGGUUUGGAAGAAGAGAAAGAUGAGGAAGGACCAGAAUGAUUUUUUUUAAUCAAGAAAGCAGGUACUGAAUAUAAGAUCAGAUUUCAUGCAGGAGGGACCAAGACAGCAACCUAACGCUGAGGUUCAAAAUUAAACCUGCAAUGAUGGAUGGAUUGGUACCAGCUGCUAGGGCGAUUACCGAACCCAUAAAUCAACAGCAUUUGACUCAGCUCUAGCUUAAGAGGAAAGUCAUUCAGGCAGAACAAUUUUACCAGGCACAGAUAGAUAGAAAAUGUAAAGAGAAAGAAGAAGAGGGUGUGUGAAACAGUCCAAGCAGUAACAUUUUUUGUUUGCUCCAUAGAAAACAAGGUUAAAGGAGAAAAGCCAGUAUUUCAAAGUUGAGGCAAAGGCCAGUGAUUUUACUGGCGUACCGAGACAGAGACAGAAUAAGGAACUUCAGCAGGUCAUGGAGCUGAGGACUGAAGGAGAAAACAUGAAUGCUGCAAGAGGGGCGCCCUUUAGUGCCUUUUAAGAACAACAACCCAGAUUAACUAAACCACAAGAGCUGGAAAAGGAACAAGCAGUAAAGCCUGGCCCAGACAGACCUGAUUCUGCACAGUAGGGAUGCCCACCUCCUCAAAACCUCCAGCUGCUUCUCCCCAGACCCGUCCAUACUUUAUGGGGGCAACCAGCAACUAGAGCACUGAUCACAAUGAAGUGAAUACACAUAGUUCCAAAAUGGUGCAGGAUCCUCAGCUGGCUCAGUGUAAGAGCCCCUUGGGGACCCCAGAGAGCCACCAAAGCAAAGCAGCCCUGACCUGUAUUGGACAUGAAGUAGAAACACAGACUUUAGGAUUUUUCCAUACUCAGAUGGGGCAGCCAGUGCUUUAUAGGCAUUGUAAUGCUCUGGCAACCGGACCUGUGUGUGUUAUGGAAAUGUGGAGAAGUUCUUAGAAAACAGCCAAGCUUCAGUUACAUCUUCUGUAGAUGGUGGUCCACGGACCCUCUUGUGAGGCCACGAGAGCAAAUAAAGAGAGAGUGCUGCAGGGUGGUCCACCACGGAACGAGAAUUUGAAGGGCAGCAACUCAUCUUUGACAUUACUCUUGACUCCAGUAAGUCCUGUCAAGCAACUGUGUAAGUAUGGAAAGAAUCUAGGACAGCUAACACGACUUUCGGCACCAUCAUCCACCACGUCACAGUUCCUCAAACAUCGCAGCAGUCACUCAUACCGCUGGCCGGCUGCAGAGAGCACGACGUAACAGCGCAGCUCCAGACCUGGGAGCAGAGCAGCGUCACACCCCACAUGGAGGAGGGAACGGGGCAAGGCUGGCUCCUGUGGACCUGCAGAGACCCUUAUCCCAGCUGGUGGCUGCAGCCCAUUAGACAGAAGUGCAAGCGGAGGUUCAGCCUGGUACCAAGUCCUAAUACCACACCUGGGGAUGUCAUCCAUGAUCAAAUGAUAUCAGGUGGUGAUGGCAUCCAUGAUCAAAUGCUACCAGGCCACCGAUGAUGGAAGCUGCAACCUCCAUACACAACCCCAGCUGUCACUUCCCUCAUCCCUGGCCAGGGCCAACCACCUGCACCUGAGGCCCCAAACACCAGCUCUGAUACAGCCCCUGUGCUUGCACAGCUACAGCUCAGGCUACUGUGGGCACUGCACAGUCACCAGGAGAAGCCGCGUGACGUGCACAGAGCAGAACCUGGCAAGGACACAAGGGUGACACCUCAGGCAGAGGUAGGGUGGCUGAGAUGGCAUCACUACCAUCUCAAAGGUUAGGGGGAAAACCCCAACAUGGAAAGGUAUGGAGCCAUGUAUGUCCCACUCACAGCCUCUCUCUGUGUGUGCCGAACGCUGCCUGAACAGGGUGAGCUAAGGGACAGCAACAGCAGCCAGCAGCAGUGGCAGCUGGGCUGAGGUCGCUCUCGUUGAAGCCCAUGCCCCCCGUCCUUCAUGGCACAGUAGACCUGGUCUUGAAAGUGUAUUGCUGGGGGAAACCCUUACACUUCAAUUCAGCCUUGACUUGCACUGGCCUUUGAAUCUGGAGAGAAAAGGAGAGGUUACAGAUUUUGUUUGAAUUGGGAGAUAAUUCUGGAAUUUUUUUGAGGAACACAGAAGUUUCAAAAAAAUAUGCCAUUUCUGCCUCUACACACUGUGUUCACUUUGCCUCUGUCCAACACAACCUCUUUUUAAGAUGUAUAUGGACAUAUGUCUUGGUCAUAUACGACGGUGUGUUGUACGUAUGAAGAAAAGACGUUAUCCCAUUAGCCGUGGUGUUCAUUUACAGAGCAGAGAUCAGUAGUCAAUAUUUUAGCAGGUUGUGACAGCCCUUUCCUGUGGCUAGAUACUACCCACAGAAGCCAUUUUAAUCUGUUGCUUAAUGGGAAUUGUUCAAAAGCCCCAAGACCAUCCCUGGCUAUCUCUGCGCUACUAGUGAGCUGUUCACAGUCGCUCUCACCUGGCCAAAGCCUGUCCUGUCUUAAGCCUGGUCUUGUACUUUCCUCUUCAAUACGGUGUGUGAGCUGCUGCUGUAUCUAAGUGACGUAAAAAAAAAAGCUGUGCCAGGUGCUUUGAUCUUUCUUGACCUCCAGGAUUUCAGACCUUCCAUUCAUACCCUGGAGAUGGUGCCUGAGAUGCUGCAGCCCAGGAGGAGCCAACAUGGAUCUGGCAGGGCACGCUCCCAUGCUCUCUGCUCCCUGCCCAGCAUGACACACGGCUGGAAGGAAAUCAAAGUAGUUGGACGAUGGCCAUUUCAGGAACCUUGGUAAGGUUUUUCACACUGCAUGGAUCAAUUUCUGCAGCAGUGGCUCCCAAAGUCUCAGAGUUGCUCUGUAAGCCCCAGAAGCACACAGGUAGAGAAAGUUCCUGCCUGCAACAAUCUAUGGUGUAAGUAGACAAGGCAAAUUACAGAUGACAAGAAGGAAAUAUGAUUACCCAAAUUCUGCACAAGGGGAAUUGAAGCUAUUUAGAUACAUAUAUAGGGCAAAAUUUUUAAAAGGCACAAAGUAGGAUCCAGCACCCAAAUUCAAACUGAUGGCCAAGUGCCUGAUCCAGUACAUGCUCUAAAACACUUCCCCUAAAUGACUUGCUCAAGGCCACAAAGAAAGUUUUCAACAGCACUAAGUACCUGUCCCUGAGGUCCUGAGACACAGCACUUUAAUCACAAGGCCACCUCCCCUCUGAAGAACAGCCUCUCCGUACCAUACUUGCAUUCAGCUGAGCACAAAUCAUUUGUGUGCACAUUCUCAGAACAGCAUUAAAAAUGAGAGUGAAUACCCAAGCAAAAGCACAAUUUUUGUUUGAGCUAACACUGAUGAAUACUUCUUUGGAGAAUUUGCCAAGCUCUAGUAUUGAUUAAAAAUAAUUAAAUGAUAACAUUAAUUUCACAUUUAUUCUGCUGUGGUUGCUGGAGUGUUUCUAAGUGGGAAAACUUCCCUGAGAUCGUGUCAUUUGGUUCUCAUAGCGCUGCAGGCUGAACAAGGGUAUAAAUAUGCAAAAGCUGCUCCAUUUCACUGUUGCGUGGAUACGAAGCAGAUGGAUAGAUGAACAAAACUCCUUCUUAGAAAGCGAGUGGCCUUGUCAAUACAGACUGCACCCAUCUGGCUCAGCACUGCACCCAGCUUGAUGAAAAAGAAGAGGAACAUCAUAUUUAAAACCUAUCCCAUUUUUCUGAACAUGGUGAUAGUAUUAAGAGCUUGGUGCACUAUUUCUGUUUCUGCAAUAGCACACACCACAUCCCACUGGAUGAGCCCCUCUGGAGCACAGGAGCCACUCUCCCACCACUUGCCUCCAUCCCACUGUUAAGAAAAAUGGGUACAGCCAACCCAUGCGCCGUGUCACCACCAUGGACCACAUCUGCGGUGGGGUGGCUGGGCCAGGACUACACCAUCCAGCUACUUUGCGAGGGUCCAGUGGUGUCUCCCACAAGAUGCUGAAGGCAUUACUGGUCCAGCCAUUGGCCAUCCCUGUUCAAGCAGUGGGACCAGACCUUCCUCUAAAUCCCUACUGCCCUACAUCCAUGACCCGCAGCAGAGACCAGGACUCAGUGCUCAGACCAGUGUCCUGCCAGCAAGUGACCAGAGGUGGUCUGGUUUGUGUCUCCCCACUGCUGACCCAACUCAAUGCCUGUGUGAGCAGCAGAACCAGUGUGUUCCAGUAUCCAGCAGCUCCUUCUCAAUCCCAGCCACUGGGCUAUGUUCUCCAGUGAAUGAGAAGGCAGGACCUCCUUGGUUUUUCCCUCCAUAAGAAAUCAAGCUUCUCCAGCUAUUUUCACUCAACACAUGCUAACAUUUCAUAUUAUAUGAUACAUCUAUCCUCCUGUCCAGCUUGAUUCAAACUGGACCCAGGGGGAGCCGAACAGGGAGAAAGCAACGGCAUGAUCUCACAAACCUCACAUCCUGAGGAAAUUAAGACAAGAAACUGUGAUUCAUAAUCUCAGUGUGGAUCCACUGGCCUCGUCUCCUACCCUAAUCGUCCCACCAUGCCAUGUGAAAAUAAAACAAAAGCAAACCCAGUAGAACAACCCCAAAAGAAAAACCAAAUGCAUUCUGAGAAGACAAAUUCUGCCAGGAUGGACGAAGAAGAAUUUGUCUGAUUACAGACCCUGCUCUAAUGCAGGUCACAGCUCUGAAGGAGUGACAGGAAUGAGCAUCCUGUGGGAGCUGUGCUGGCAGGAACCAGAGCAGGGGAGGCUCCAGGAUUCAGGUGCUGCGUCCCCAGGAAUCUGUGGGAACUCAGGGCAGGUAGCCAGCUCAAUUUCAGCUCUAAGUACACACUCCAUGGUCUGGGUGUCUUCAUCGGCAUCCCACAGAUCUGACUGAGGACUUGAUGCAUGUUUACAAAACUGUGAAGCCCAAGCAAAGGAGUGAGCAUAAAGUUAUUUUUCUAUCAAAGCCAACUGCCACUUUUUUGGGGGGAAAAAAAAAUCGACCUUUUUGUGCAGUUCUCACUUCCAAUGAAAAAACAAACAAAAAAAAAGCUUCAGCUCUAUUUUUUAUAUCCGCUCAUUUGGUUUCUUUCUUGCCUACACGGAAACAUGUAAAGUCCUUGUUCUUAACUUGAAGAGCACUUGCUGAUGCCUUACAGACCGGCAGAGCUCCAGGACCCCCAGCUGGGAAACGCUGUGUUCGACUUCGCAGAUGCUUCCCCCCUUACAAGGAAAAGGAGAUCUGCACCUGAGAGCUGGCUUGUCUGAAACCUGCCAGCAACAAUCAAAUCACUCCAAGGCAGGUAAUUAAUUGUGGCUCAUUCCCAAAGGCAAGGCAUGAUUAUCAUAUUCUAGAGCCCCUGAGUUACAGUUGUCCCUUAAUCACCUUUUCUGAGGAAGAUGUGAGGAAUUUGUGCGGAAUAAGCACUUUCUUUCAGUAACUACUGGCUUCAGUUUAAAGCGAUGAAUGCUCAAAUCACUGGUAUUGAGCUGUUUAUGAACAGACAGAAAGGCGCAAGAGACGUUACUGUAAUAAAUAUUCAGCAGGUGCCUGGAGAAUAAGAGUAUAAAUACUCAAAAUUGCUCCGCUUCAUGGUUAUAUUAGAAGGCAUGGGGGAAUGCAAAUCCUUUUCUUUAUAUUGCUUAUGAGGGGAUUUCUUUUUUUUAAUUCAGUAGUUUUGUUUCUUCUCAAGCUUUCAGUUCAGCAGCACACAGAGGAUGCAGAACCAUGACCUGUGUGGCAGCGGGCCCGGUGCCACUGCUGCUGCUGGGAACCAGGUACCGGCUGCCAUCUCGUGCCAGCUCCUUCCCCGACCCCUUCUCAGGGGGGUGUUCUGCCCUGGGGGGCAAACAGGGGGAUACUGUGGGAGCCGUGUUACCCCAAGGAAAAGCUGGCUGCUGGAGAGGGGACAGAGCCAGCGGGUCUGAGAGAUCCAGUGUGGUCCUGCCUUGAUACUUAGUGUGGCCUCACAUCUGGGCACCUGCUGUGCCCCAAAUCACAGGAAUCUCUGCAAAGCUCAUCCUUUUCUUCCUAAGCAUUUAUAAUAUGGAAACUACCGACGGGCAAAUGUGCUUUUAGUGAGCAGGGAGUGCCACGGCUGCGUAAUGCUGCAGACAGCUACAGACAUGGUCUUCCUCUAGGGAUUUCUUUUCCCUCUCCCCACCCCGUAUAUCUCAGUUAUGCAGAAUAAGCACAAGAGUGCCGUUUUCUGAUGUGUCUAUAAACCUAAGCAUAUGCAGCUAUUCCAAAUCAUGCCUGUGAAAUGGGGGGAAGCAGCAAACCCCAUACCCACUGCAGGCAUGGGGGAUGACAGCGGGACUGAGCAAGGCAUCCUGACCUGUGCACCAUGGCCCAGCUCUGUCACCAUUCAAUCUCAUUUGCUUGCACUGAUAGCUGUUAGGUCACUGCACCUUCAAAAAAACAUGUGUAACCCUGAACCCCUGCCAGGGGACGAAAUCACCAGCAUAAUCACUUCUCCAGCAGGGAGGGGAGGGAAACAAUGUCACCCCAGUUUGUGCUCUCAAGUCCACUGAUUUCAAAAGCUGACUAAGACUUUCCUCUACAUGCUGCUUGUGCUAACAGAAGGCAUCAGCUGACCUUCUGUUUUUCUUUGGAAAUUCAACUAUUACUCUAAGUGUUCUUGGAAUACGCACUUGCUGUCUUUCUGGAAAUCUGUAGAUCUUCUUUCUGCUUGUAUGGAAUAGCACUGCUGCUACGAACUCUACAAAGCCGGGAAAUAUCCACUGUGUCCUUCUCCCUCAAAUCUAAAACAUUUCAUUUCUGCCCUGCAUGGGGUCAGUUUUGUGAUCAGCAAAUAGGCUUCUCUACUUCGUAAAAUAUAGUUUAAGAAUGCAGUCAAUGUACAAAGACCUAAUUUGACAGCCAGACCCUGCAGUGUAGUCUUUCUUUUCUUUUCCAAAGCUGCCAGAAAACCUCCUGUAAUUCCAAGGAAGGGAGAUAAACCCAAUAACAUUUGAAAUGUGCCCAUGCUGCGGACAGAUGUGUCAGUACUUUAGACAAGUAACAAGUCAGUUUUAUGAGGCUAAUGCUGGUAAAAUGAUUCCCAAAAGACCAUUCAUCACCAAAGAAGAAUUUUGUUGUUUUAAAAUGCAGACAUAGAGCAAAAUUACAGAAUAACAUAAUAAUUUAGACUGCAACAGACCUCCUCCGCUAGUCAUGUAGUCCAAUGUCCACUCGAAGCAGAGACAACUUCAAAAUAAUAUUAGGUGGCUCAGGGCUUUCUGAGUUCGCAUAUUUCAGUGAGUAAUUCUUGUGUCUUCUGUCCUCUGACCCUGAAAUUACUAUUCCACAUCUCGCCUAACACCUCUGCCAGCACAGGGGCACUGCACUCUGGACAUUAGCACUCUCGCACCCCUCCACCUGCAGCAUCUGCAUUGGCACAUCUCAGCAAUUUCAGCUUGUCUUCUCUGUCUCCCUCUCUUUUUCCCCCUCCCUCUCCUUCCCAUGUUUUCUGGGCACAAGGGAGAGCUUAAAACCUGAUCAAAAUACUGUCUGAGGCUGGGGUGAGUAGGGAGUAGCACUAGAAAGCCACCAAAACUAAAAAAAAAAAGAAAAAAAAAAAAAGCAUGUCUGGGGACAAUUAUUAAUAUUGCCCCAUGACAGUUUGAAUGAUGGAUCAAAAUCCCCAUCCUUUCCCUGAGGAUAUGGGUACUUCAUGCUUUCUUUGCCUCAGUCUUUAAUAAUAAGGUCAGGUCUUCUCUGGGUACCCAGCCCCUUGAGCCAGAAGACAGAACAAAGCUCCCAUGUUCCAAAAGGAAAUUGUCAGUGACCUGCUCAGCCAAUUAGACACACAUAAGUCUAUGGGGCCGGACAGGGUCUACCCAAGGAUACUGAGGGAGCUGGCAGAGAUGCUCACCAAGCCCCUUUCCA
Long non-coding RNA from Egretta garzetta (little egret), 8424 nucleotides. RefSeq lists it as uncharacterized. The record is from RefSeq and is a predicted model, not a curated record. The transcript is spliced from 3 exons. Lineage: Eukaryota; Metazoa; Chordata; Aves; Pelecaniformes; Ardeidae.